Molecule: non-coding RNA, 80 nt
Organism: Nemania sp. FL0916
Lineage: Eukaryota; Fungi; Ascomycota; Sordariomycetes; Xylariales; Xylariaceae
Source: the annotation of a GenBank genome assembly
GGGCAUGUGGUGUAUAUGGUAACACCCCGGUACUCAUUAUCCGGCAUCCGGAGUAGUCGGUUCGAGUCCGACCAUGUCCA